Rattus norvegicus (Norway rat) is the source of this 3345-nucleotide non-coding RNA. The record is from RefSeq and is a predicted model, not a curated record. Lineage: Eukaryota; Metazoa; Chordata; Mammalia; Rodentia; Muridae.
AAAAAAGGCGUGCAGAGGAAGAUGUUCUCACAGCAGCAAGGAAGCACAAGCCAAUACUUCCGAAUGGGCUAAGAGACAGAGGAAAAGGGAAUGUGCAUCAUGAUGAAGAAGCUUGGAAAUUACGAGGUGAACAUUCAGCAGGAGUUAGGCAUAGAAGACAAAAAUCUGCUUAGAAACCAGCUUGAACAUCUAGCAUCAACAUAGACUGAUGCCUUGCAUGAAGUAGAAGGUAAAAUGGUACUUAGGGAAUCUAAUAGCACCCAUUUAGUACAGCAAAAACACUCUCCACAGUGUGAAACAGGAGUUUAGAAGAAGGGAAUAUCGCAGGGAACUCUGGUGUUGCGUAUAAGAGGAUUAGAGUCCGAUGUAACAAAGCAAAGCAUGUCAGAAAAAAAAAAGGAAAGAAAAGAAAAAGGGAAAACAACAGCUGAAAGUUCACAGUGUAAUGGCAAUCAAAGGCAGAGAGAGCACACUGGAAAUGGAAGAAGUCUUUUGGAACCUCAAAGCCCAUUUCCAGCAAUACAGCUCCUUCAACAAGGCCACACCUCCUCAUCCUUCCAAAACAGUUCCACCAACCCGGGACCAAGUAUUUAAACAUAUGAGGAUAUGAGAACCAAAUUUAUUCAAGCCACCAUAGCCAACAACUGACUUUGAGAAUGCUGAAAAAGUAGAUUGAGAAGUUUGACUGUGUAGUUUCCUUCGAGGCGACUGGCUGAGAAUAUGGUUGCUAUGCUGAAGAAAUCCGAAAUAAAACAAUAGACUUGAUUCUAGCUAAGGCGUCAACCGCUCUACUUUGGCUCUCCCAGUACGAUUUCCUGUGAUGAGAACUGUUUUGGGACAAAUAGAUAACUGUCUUCUUCACCCCUAAUCAAGGAAACUUCUCUUUGGAAAAGACAAGGAUCUUUACAGAAAAUCACAACCAAUCAAAAUGCACAGUUGUGGAGUACAGUCCUAACGAAUACGUCUACAAAACAAUUCUCUUUUUUAUAAUAGAUAUUUUAUUUAAUUACAUUGCUAAUGUUAUCCCCUUUCCCAGUUUCCCCUCCAGAAAUUCCCUAAUCCUUCCACCCUCCCCCUGCUUCUAUGAGGAUGCUCACCCACCCACCCACUCUCAUCUCCCCACCCUGGCAUUCACCUAUGUUGGGGCAUCAAGCCUUGGCAGGACCAAAGGCUUCUCCUCCCAUUGGUACCCUACAAGGCCAUCCUCUGCUACAUACAUGGCUGGAGCCAUGGAUCCCUCCAUGUGUCCUCUUUGGUUGGUGGUUUAGUCCCUAGGAGGUCUGGGUGUGGGGGGAAGUCUGCUUGGUUGAUAUUGUUGUUCUUCCUAAGGGGUUGCAAACCCCUUCAGCUCUUUCAGUACUUUCUCUAACUUCUCCACUGGGGUCUUGGGGAUCAUGGUGGAAGAAGGGACUGAAAAACUAAGAACCAGAAAAGCAGACAGCUUGCUCUGAGACUGUCUGCUAGUAAUGUCAGAAGCUACACUCAUAAAAUCCCACACACAUGGCUGUCUUAACAUGAGCCAACAAAGACAAUAGACUUACUAACAAGGGUAGAGGAAAGUCCACGAGGUCUCAACCCAACACAAAGAACUAUAGGCAACUAAUGAAUUUUGAGUACCAAAUAAAUAGUCUUCCUCAGGGAAGAAGACACCAAUUGAUCUAAUUAAUCUAAUACCAAAUGUUUUCAGCCUUGAAAACAUGCAUACAAGUAACAUUGUAUAGACUAAGUAGGUUAUAUACAUAUACAUCAUAUAUACAUCAUAUUUAGGAAUAUAUAAAUAAACUUAGGAAUUUAUAUGUUAUAUUUAGAAAAUAUAAUUACAUUUAGGAAUAUAUACAUAUACAUAUAUAUACAUAUAUAUAUAUAUAUAUCUCCAUUAUGAAAAAGAGGCCUUGAAGCAAGGGGCAAGGAGGAUCAGAGAGUUGAAAAGGAAGAAAUGAUGCAAUUACAUAAUAAUCUCAACAAUAAAUAAGUAUAAUAUAAAGUUUGACUACCUUUCACGCACAGUAAAUUAUGUAAGUUAGCCUAUUUAUAUUAACAAGUGUGCAUUUAACGAAUUCUUAUGGAGUAAAAAUACUGAGUAACAAACUCAGAUCCAACAUAGAAGUUGUUCCUAAGUCCACAUGCCCCUUCCCAGUCUCCUCGCCCCCAAAGCUGACGUUCUGCCAUCUUUAUGGUUUUCCCCAUUGAAAUGAAAUAGCGUAACGUGAACUCUUUGUGUCCGGCUCCUCUUGUCCAAUGUUUGCUGCUAGGCUUGUGUGCUCUUGGGUGUACUUGUGGUCCAGGUGCUUGAGUAUCCAUCGUGUGAGCUCACCACACCUUGCUUAUCCAUUGUGCCCCUACUGCAUGGUAGGCUGUUUUCAGUUGUUUGGUCAUUAUGAGUGACCCCAUUGUAAGCACACUUCACUCCCUUUGUGGAUUAUGAAAUCACUUUAUUAUAAUGAACUCACAAGUAAUAUCAUAAAAUUAGAUUAAGGUAGCUGGUCAAGUGCUUGCCGGUUCCUAACUCUGUGCAUCCCAGUGAACUUCUACACAUUUAGAAGAGCCAUUCUAGAACCAUAGAGCUUUGCAUAGUGUUUUAUUCCUUCAUUGUAAAUUUCAUUAUUGUGCCCUUAUCCAUCACAGAAAAAGGAAAAAGUUUAUGGGUUUAUGACUCAGAGUUAAGUAUUAGAGCUACUGGAUCAUAGGCUAUAAUGAUCAAUAUUUAUUGCUGAAAUUUUUAAAAGGUGAAUUUGCCGAUUUAUAUUUCCAUGUCAGGUGCACAAACGUUGGACCACACACUCACCACAACUUCACUCCAAACAAGGAACUUCUUGUUUCAUUAGAUUUUUACCUGUUACAGGGAAUUGUUGAUGUGGAUCCCACUUUAAUUAAAUUAGUAGACAUUGUGGUCUGUCUUCCCUAACAUCUGGCCAGGGUAUCUCUGAGUUCCUGUGUUCUGGUUUCACAGUGAUGAGUCUAGGUCUAGGUGCUGGUUUGAAUAGAAAUGGCUCCCAUAGACUCAUGUGUGUGGAUGCUUGGCCCACAGGGAGUGGCACUAUUAGGAGGUGUGGUGUUGUUGGAUUUGGUGUGACCUUUUGGAGGAAGAGUGUCACUGUGGAGGUGGACUCUGAGGUCCCAAGUCUGACCAAUGUGUCACAGUCUUCUACUGCCUGGGCAUCAAGAUGUAGAACUCUCGGCUCCUUCUCCAGCACCAUGUCAGCCUGUGCGCCGCCAUGCUUCCCGCCACGAUGACAAUGGACUAAACCUCUGAACUGUAAGGCAGCCCUGAUUAAGUGUUAUCUUUUUAAAAAUGUUGCUAUGAUCAUGGUAUCUCUUCACAGCAAUAAAACCCCUAACUAAGAC